AAUCCUUGUGAUUUACCUAACUGGAUAUUAGGGACUGCAAAGCAGAAAAUAAGAUAAUUAUGAUAUGCUGGUGUUGCAUCUCACCUGCGUUUAAUCUGAUCACUAACUUUAGAACCGAAGCCCUUCCCCUACCAGAAACUAUAACUCUACAAAACCAUUGCCAAGGGAUGAGAAUGAUACCAUUCAGCGGAACUACAAACAAGAAAGUCAAACUGGAAAACCAGAAAACAGAUGGCUAAACUCUUUUCUAAACUUUUCCAAGAGCAGUGUUUAUGCAGGUGACAGCCUCAGCUGUGACAAAGGAGAGAAAACAGAAAGACCUGGGAAAGUGCAAGGAUGAAGCAAUUAAGUUUGAGAAAUGUGAUGUGAGGUUUAGGAAAGGUGGAUUUUAGCCCCAGCAGACUUUUAGCUGGACACGGACCUAAUACCUUGAGACUUCAUUGUUCCCAUUAAAGAAAAAAUUAUCUUCUGACUUUCUAGGGGUUUGGGGGUCCCAGAUAUCAAAAGAUUUAAACCACUUAGGAGGUUUCCAUUGGAAGGAGAAGACUGUCUUUAGCCCACUGCAUCCCCUCAAGCCAUCCCAAGCUUUCUCUGUGCCAGGGACUGGACGCACGCUAAAAUACGAACCUGUGUGGACUUCUUUCUUAGGAGCCUUUGCACCAGCACAGGAAAGAGACAGAGACAGUGAUGGCGAGACUCAAGCACGCAUAUCUUGAUGGACUCCAAAAUGCUCUUCCUAAUUCCUUCUCUGUGGCUCAUUCUUCAUCCUCUAUUUGCAUUGGUAUGCCAAUUCAUUGCUGACACUUCAGUGGAUGACUUGGAAGUGAUUUUUAAAAAAUUAUUACAUCAAUGUCAGUAUGACAAACUUUGCCAGUUCAAAUGUGUACUGCCUUGGAAGUGGCAUUGCAUGAGGAAAAAUUAUUUUCUAACAAAAAUAGGAAUAAAAUUCAAAAUUAUAUAUAAAAAUCUAAAAUGAAAACGACAGAACCUGUAGUAACCUCUGCAUGAUGUAAAGGUGGUUGCAAUAAAAAUCGCGAGGAAAACUGAAAAG
RNAcentral lists this long non-coding RNA (1051 nucleotides) under Homo sapiens (human). RNAcentral describes it as "HSALNT0115906". Lineage: Eukaryota; Metazoa; Chordata; Mammalia; Primates; Hominidae. The record is from RNAcentral.